AGACAAAAUAUCAAUAAAUCUGUAUCAAUCUGCAAAAUUGACUAUGUAAUCCAACCAUUACUUUUGUCUA
This 70-nucleotide transfer RNA is filed under the name Euretidae gen. sp. DVL-2014. RNAcentral describes it as "tRNA-Cys". Lineage: Eukaryota; Metazoa; Porifera; Hexactinellida; Sceptrulophora; Euretidae. The record is from RNAcentral.